CGUUACUCGCAGAAUAAGCACCGGCUAACUCUGUGCCAGCAGCCGCGGUAAUACAGAGGGUGCAAGCGUUAAUCGGAUUUACUGGGCGUAAAGCGCGCGUAGGCGGCUAAUUAAGUCAAAUGUGAAAUCCCCGAGCUUAACUUGGGAAUUGCAUUCGAUACUGGUUAGCUAGAGUGUGGGAGAGGAUGGUAGAAUUCCAGGUGUAGCGGUGAAAUGCGUAGAGAUCUGGAGGAAUACCGAUGGCGAAGGCAGCCAUCUGGCCUAACACUGACGCUGAGGUGCGAAAGCAUGGGGAGCAAACAGGAUUAGAUACCCUGGUAGUCCAUGCCGUAAACGAUGUCUACUAGCCGUUGGGGCCUUUGAGGCUUUAGUGGCGCAGCUAACGCGAUAAGUAGACCGCCUGGGGAGUACGGUCGCAAGACUAAAACUCAAAUGAAUUGACGGGGGCCCGCACAAGCGGUGGAGCAUGUGGUUUAAUUCGAUGCAACGCGAAGAACCUUACCUGGCCUUGACAUAGUAAGAACUUUCCAGAGAUGGAUUGGUGCCUUCGGGAACUUACAUACAGGUGCUGCAUGGCUGUCGUCAGCUCGUGUCGUGAGAUGUUGGGUUAAGUCCCGCAACGAGCGCAACCCUUUUCCUUAUUUGCCAGCGAGUAAUGUCGGGAACUUUAAGGAUACUGCCAGUGACAAACUGGAGGAAGGCGGGGACGACGUCAAGUCAUCAUGGCCCUUACGGCCAGGGCUACACACGUGCUACAAUGGUCGGUACAAAGGGUUGCUACCUAGCGAUAGGAUGCUAAUCUCAAAAAGCCGAUCGUAGUCCGGAUUGGAGUCUGCAACUCGACUCCAUGAAGUCGGAAUCGCUAGUAAUCGCGGAUCAGAAUGCCGCGGUGAAUACGUUCCCGGGCCUUGUACACACCGCCCGUCACACCAUGGGAGUUUGUUGCACCAGAAGUAGCUAGCCUAACUGCAAAGAGGGCGGUACCACAGAGUACAUCCUCA
This 1001-nucleotide ribosomal RNA is filed under the name Acinetobacter sp. RNAcentral's name for it is "bacterial SSU rRNA". It matches the Rfam family "Bacterial small subunit ribosomal RNA", at positions 473 to 1477 of the family's 1533-position model. The record is from RNAcentral. Lineage: Bacteria; Pseudomonadati; Pseudomonadota; Gammaproteobacteria; Moraxellales; Moraxellaceae.